CGGAGAGGAUUAAAUGUCUGCCUGAUCAAGGAUCAGGAGGAAAGUCCGAACACCGUAGGGCAGGAUACUUCCUAACGGGAAGCCUCAGUAAUGGGGAGCAAGCUCCACAGAAACAAACCGCCCCGGAUAACCGGGGUAAGGGUGAAAAGGUGGUGUAAGAGACCACCAGGUUCCGGUGUGAACCGGGAUGCUCGGAAAGCCUUAUCCGGUGCAAUGCCAAAUACAGGGAUGUGAACUGGCCCGGUUCGUUUCAUCCCGGGGUAGGCAGCUUGAAUCGGUCAUGUAUGAUCUCGUUGGGGAAUAGCAAUAUCCGAUUUAGAGAAAUAGACAUUAGGCUGCCUGUUAAGCAGUCAACAGAAUUCGGCUUAUCAUCCUCUUCGACAA
This 384-nucleotide RNase P RNA is filed under the name Candidatus Cloacimonadota bacterium. RNAcentral's name for it is "RNase P RNA component class A". It matches the Rfam family "Bacterial RNase P class A". From Rfam's summary of the family: Ribonuclease P (RNase P) is a ubiquitous endoribonuclease, found in archaea, bacteria and eukarya as well as chloroplasts and mitochondria. The record is from RNAcentral. Lineage: Bacteria; Pseudomonadati; Candidatus Cloacimonadota.